Long non-coding RNA from Hypomesus transpacificus, 506 nucleotides. RefSeq lists it as uncharacterized. The transcript has 4 exons. The record is from RefSeq and is a predicted model, not a curated record. Lineage: Eukaryota; Metazoa; Chordata; Actinopteri; Osmeriformes; Osmeridae.
GCCAGGGGGCGGCUGGAAGCCCUGGGAGCACAUCUACUCGCUGUGCAAGGUGGUGAAGGGACACGUGCCUCUUUACAACAUCUACGGGAAGUACGUGGUCAAACUCUACUGGAUGGGGAGCUGGAGGAAGGUCAUCGUGGACGAUGUCUUACCGUUUGACCAGGACAACAACCUGCUGCUUCCUGCCACCACCAACCAAUCAGAGCUGUGGCCCAUGCUGCUGACCAAGGCCCUUAUUAAACUGGCCAACACAGAUGUGGUGUCAGAGCAGAGGAAGGAGCUGGGAGAGUUCACGGUCAUCCAUGCACUGACUGGCUGGGAUCCCUGAAGUCAUCCCUCUACAGUGCAGGCUUUUGGGGCAUGUGUGGGAGUUCCUGAAGAAGAGCAUUCCCACGUUCCAGUACGCCGACGACAGUCCUGAGGAGAAGCCUCUGCCGGUGGAGUCCACGGCGGAGAGGGAGGCCCAACUCAACGACAGCAAGAGCGAGUCUCCCCCGACAGCCAGG